This 253-nucleotide ribosomal RNA is filed under the name uncultured bacterium. RNAcentral describes it as "partial 16S ribosomal RNA". It matches the Rfam family "Bacterial small subunit ribosomal RNA", at positions 524 to 776 of the family's 1533-position model. The record is from RNAcentral.
UACGAAGGGGGCUAGCGUUGCUCGGAAUGACUGGGCGUAAAGGGCGCGUAGGCGGAUGGCACAGUCAGAUGUGAAAUUCCCGGGCUUAACCUGGGGGCUGCAUUUGAUACGUGUUGUCUUGAGUUCGGAAGAGGGUCGUGGAAUUCCCAGUGUAGAGGUGAAAUUCGUAGAUAUCGGGAGGAACACCGACGGCGAAGGCAGCGCCCUGGACGACACCUGACGCUCAGGCACGAAAGCUGGGGGAGCAAACAGG